Molecule: ribosomal RNA, 141 nt
Filed under: uncultured bacterium
Lineage: Bacteria
Description: partial 16S ribosomal RNA
Rfam family: Bacterial small subunit ribosomal RNA
Source: RNAcentral
CAGCAGUAAGGAAUCUUCGGGAUGGACGAAACCCUGAUGCAGCAACGCCGCGUGGGCGAUGAGGGCCUUCGGGUCGUAAAGCCCUUUUCUGGGGGAAGAGCAAGGACUGUACCCCAGGAAUAAGUCUCGGCUAACUACGUG